UCAAUACAUUUUAGUCAUUAGCAUUGUUAGGCCCUUAGAAAAAUGGCUCACAGCUUUCAACUCCUAAUGUUAUAUGCAUGCAUUAUUGAAUUUGCUCUUUGCACUUACAUUAAAUUAUGAUCCCAUUAGCAAGGAGUUAAAUAGGUUUGAGCUACAUUUGUGAACUACGUGGUUAUAAAUACACUCUCAGAGGUGGCUUCUAGCAGCUAAGCACUGCAUAACUCUGCAAAUCAUUGCAGCUUCUUCUGUGAAGAUGAGGGUCACUUGGACACUCAGAGUUUAGUAAUGCCAACAGUCGAAGGGUAUGGAAACAACUCUCAGCGGUCCAAAGGCAAAAAUGUUUUAAAUGACAUAAAUCUUAUUCUGCACUCCUACAUGCAGGAACUCCUGUGAAAAAUGGGGAGGUAGAGCAUUUUUAAUGACUCCGUACACCUGUACAUUUUAGGACAUGUUUGGAACUGUCACAGCCUCCAAUAGCUGGCACAGACAAGUAAAUCCCUUCACUACAUAUAUCCAAAGAUAACUAGUUUAAAAAGAAUGCAAAAAGCUACAUGUUAAAUCCUUCACUCAGCAAGGCUUCUUCUCUCUUUCUUAACUGUCAAUUGACUCCAACAAACCUGUGCAGUGAUAUCUGUGCCUGCCUGCACAUACUUCUUAUGCAGAGUGAUACUAUGGCUUCUCUGAGAGAGGCUGGAAUGAGACACUAGUGACUGAUUACCAUGACUACCUGAAGUAGUCUCAGUUUAAAGAUGGACAGGAAAAUGGAGAAUAUCAUUCUCUCUCCUCUGGGCUGAUGAUAUUCCAGCCCAGAAAGGUACCAAGAAGCAAGAAUUAGUACCUUUAAAACAAGUGUUUAGAUGCAGAAUUAGGUGGCAGAAAUUUUUCCAGCUUCAUUUAUGACCAUUUCCAUUUUCAUUGCCUAGGUAUUAUAUUGUCAGAGCAGGUUUCAUAUUACAUUUAUAAACUUACCAUCCUUGUUCGUAUAUUUCUUUGGCUUUUUUGUGCAAUCUUUUCUUUUUCUAUACCCUACAUAUUGACACAUAUAUCUAUCCUUCCUAAGGACACCACUGAAGAUCUUCUGGACUCAUUAAUUACCCAACCAUUUGCCAGUUCAGUAUCUCUAUUCAGAAACAGAAAGUGCAGUCUUUUAGAUCAGAGUAUAUCAUCCAGUCUCUCAGAUAGAUAACACACUACACCAUGGGUUUCUAUCCAGAGUCAUAUCCCUAAUUUAAACUUCUUUCUUAUCACAUCUAGGGUCACCAGAUUACCUGGGGACAUCAUCUUGGUAAUGCAUUUACUAGACUCAAAUUCUCCUUUUUUGCCCUGUAAGGAGCCUCAGCACCCCCACUUAACUCCAUUGAACACAGCAUGGCUCCAAGCUGCUUCAUUUAUUAUUCUAAGUACUUGAGGACAUCAAAACAUUUAAAAUAAACUUGGCAGUAGUUUUAAUCAAAAGGCUUAUUUAUUUGGGUCUUACAAGAGAGAUUCUGCAUUCACAGAAAAAAAUAAAUAAACAAUGGUAUUCUAAUCCUUAAGCUGUGCCCAUGUAUAAAGUUUGCCAUUGCGAAGACAACACUGCUUCUUUAAAAUGGCAGACCCUGAAAUUUGACACCCAUCUCCUGGAGGGGCUGUGCUGGACAGUGUGCACAGUGAGUCCUUUGUAGCUGAGUUAGUGUCAGGUAUGGAUGGCUGAAACAAGCAAAUUUAUUUUAUCAUCUAAUCAUAUUUCCUUUGUAAAUACAAUUCAUGCCAGGCUUGCUGGCACAUAUCUAUGGUCACAGUUCUUGGGAGGUAAAACAGAAAGAUGACAAACUCAACAUCAGCCUCAGCUAAAUAUACAGGCAUUUGUUUUGGAGUCUAAUGACGAGAGUUCAAUCUCCAGAACCCAUGUGAAAGUCAAAGGACCUGACCACGUGUGUCAAGGCACACACACACACACACACACACACACACACACACACACUUUCAAGAAUAAACAUUUUUCUAAAAAAAAUUAAUUAUCAAAGCCUUAUACAUUAUUCUUCCUAAAUUAAAGGAUAAUAAAGAAAUGGCAGUCCCUAUCUGUCCUCCACACUCAGGAGUGAGCAUCCUGAUACAGGUCAGGAUUAUCUUCAUGUAUUUUUAGAGAUUCUGUAAUUCACAUAUGCCCAAGCACGCACUCCACAUCUGCUUGAUUAUCUACCCUGAUAAUAAUUUUUAUGACUUCCAUGCCAUAAAACAUUUUCUUCCCCGGAGAACUUUAUAUUCUUGCCCCAAGCCCCAAAUCUU
This 2268-nucleotide long non-coding RNA is filed under the name Mus musculus (house mouse). RNAcentral describes it as "long non-coding RNA chrX:41661915-41664183". The record is from RNAcentral. Lineage: Eukaryota; Metazoa; Chordata; Mammalia; Rodentia; Muridae.